This 429-nucleotide ribosomal RNA is filed under the name Chloroflexota bacterium. Its description in RNAcentral is "Chloroflexi bacterium partial 16S ribosomal RNA". It matches the Rfam family "Bacterial small subunit ribosomal RNA", at positions 355 to 776 of the family's 1533-position model. Lineage: Bacteria; Bacillati; Chloroflexota. The record is from RNAcentral.
UGGGGAAUAUUGCACAAUGGGCGCAAGCCUGAUGCAGCCAUGCCGCGUGUAUGAAGAAGGCCUUCGGGUUGUAAAGUACUUUCAGCGGGGAGGAAGGGAGUAAAGUUAAUACCUUUGCUCAUUGACGUUACCCGCAGAAGAAGCACCGGCUAACUCCGUGCCAGCAGCCGCGGUAAUACGGAGGGUGCAAGCGUUAAUCGGAAUUACUGGGCGUAAAGCGCACGCAGGCGGUCUGUCAAGUCGGAUGUGAAAUCCCCGGGCUCAACCUGGGAACUGCAUUAGAAACUGGCAGGCUAGAGUCUUGUAGAGGGGGGUAGAAUUCCAGGUGUAGCGGUGAAAUGCGUAGAGAUCUGGAGGAAUACCGGUGGCGAAGGCGGCCCCCUGGACAAAGACUGACGCUCAGGUGCGAAAGCGUGGGGAGCAAACAGG